UAACUAGAAACAGCUGAAUUCUUAAGAAUUAUUUGAAUUCGAUCCUAAAAAUUCAAUAACGAGCAAGCAAUUGAGGUUGUUUUAAAUUAGCGAUAUGGUAUAAAAAAGCUGCGUUAAGAAGGAGUCUUAUAUCGUUCUUGCGUCGAGUGAGAGACUUCUCAGGAUGAAGGGCGUUCUUCUCGUCACAGCUUGUGGACUGCUCAUCGCUUGUUUUCUUACACCAUGCAAUGGCAUGGCGGGAACGAUACCAAUUCACGGAAAGCGUGACAAGAUCUCCAUGCGAAAGGCUGUCGAGGAGGCAAGAGAAGCAUGCAACAUGGCCAGGAGGAUGACGGAUGAAUACAUACGCGCACUGCGUGAAGACAACUUCCUCGAACACGUGUAGAAUCAAAUACAUCCAACAGAUUAACUAUUGCAUAAGCGUGUGUUGUUAUUUUUCAACUAAACAACAGAGUCUCGUAUUAUAUAGUACAACGUUUUGUAAAUCACAUAAUAGUAUGCAUAAAAUAAAAUAAAAAAAUAUUGAAACCGA
This is a long non-coding RNA of Nematostella vectensis (starlet sea anemone), 532 nucleotides long. RefSeq lists it as uncharacterized. Lineage: Eukaryota; Metazoa; Cnidaria; Anthozoa; Actiniaria; Edwardsiidae. The record is from RefSeq and is a predicted model, not a curated record. The transcript is spliced from 2 exons.